UACGCAAACGUCCAAAGUGGGAGGGCAGAAGACGGAGGAAGGCUGGAGAAUUUGCACAUCAGUCUUGUGGCUGUUGAAGCCCACCAAGAAUUUCUCCUUUGUACCUCCUAGAAAGCGGCCAAAGACUCCGGGAGCCUCCUUCCUGAUCUCUGAACAUGAUAUGUGCGGGAGGAGAUAUGCAAACACGGUUUCACCAAUCUUCCGCUCCCUUCCAUGGAACAAAGCUGAGCACAGACAGGAUGUGCUGUGGGUGCUAAGCAGAUCGAUUUUGUCUCCAGCAUGCCAGAGUGUCCACUCGGAAGAUGGUGGGGUGUGUAUGUGCACUUGUGCGUGCGUGCGUGCGUGCAUGUGCGUUUAUUGUUUCUGAGCCCUAAGCCAUGGCUGGGUCUUGCAAAUUAGACUUAAAAGUAAAUGGCUUGAGAAGCUUAGCAAAAGUCUUAA
RNAcentral lists this long non-coding RNA (441 nucleotides) under Rattus norvegicus (Norway rat). Its description in RNAcentral is "long non-coding RNA NONRATT006881". Lineage: Eukaryota; Metazoa; Chordata; Mammalia; Rodentia; Muridae. The record is from RNAcentral.